GUGAAUCAUCGAAUCUUUGAACGCAAAGUGCGCUUCCUGGCAUAGGGGGAAGUAUGCCUGUUUGAGGGACAGUAUUAAUAAAAAAUCGGUUUGGUCGCAAAUCGUGACGUUUCGGGAGUUUGGGCUAUCUUAACUUUUUUGGUUAAGGGGAUUAAAAUUGACCUUAUUUGAGGGUUUUUAGACGUACAUAAAUUUUUUUUCUAUUCGUCCAUUCUUAAUGCCAAAAUCUUCUUAGAUGCGAUUACGUCGUGUGGUUUCGCGUCC
RNAcentral lists this unclassified non-coding RNA (264 nucleotides) under Rhizophagus sp. (in: glomeromycetes). Its description in RNAcentral is "partial internal transcribed spacer 2". The stretch from base 1 to 71 matches the Rfam family "5.8S ribosomal RNA", at positions 84 to 154 of the family's 154-position model. The record is from RNAcentral. Lineage: Eukaryota; Fungi; Glomeromycota; Glomeromycetes; Glomerales; Glomeraceae.